UGGGGAAUAUUGCACAAUGGGCGCAAGCCUGAUGCAGCCAUGCCGCGUGUAUGAAGAAGGCCUUCGGGUUGUAAAGUACUUUCAGUCGGGAGGAAGGUGUCAAGGUUAAUAACCUUGGCAAUUGACGUUACCGACAGAAGAAGCACCGGCUAACUCCGUGCCAGCAGCCGCGGUAAUACGGAGGGUGCAAGCGUUAAUCGGAAUUACUGGGCGUAAAGCGCACGCAGGCGGUUGAUUGAGUCAGAUGUGAAAUCCCCGGGCUUAACCCGGGAAUUGCAUCUGAUACUGGUCAGCUAGAGUCUUGUAGAGGGGGGUAGAAUUCCAUGUGUAGCGGUGAAAUGCGUAGAGAUGUGGAGGAAUACCGGUGGCGAAGGCGACCCCCUGGACAAAGACUGACGCUCAGGUGCGAACGCGUGGGGAGCAAACAGG
RNAcentral lists this ribosomal RNA (429 nucleotides) under Chloroflexota bacterium. RNAcentral's name for it is "Chloroflexi bacterium partial 16S ribosomal RNA". It matches the Rfam family "Bacterial small subunit ribosomal RNA", at positions 355 to 776 of the family's 1533-position model. The record is from RNAcentral. Lineage: Bacteria; Bacillati; Chloroflexota.